Molecule: ribosomal RNA, 253 nt
Filed under: uncultured bacterium
Lineage: Bacteria
Description: partial 16S ribosomal RNA
Rfam family: Bacterial small subunit ribosomal RNA
Source: RNAcentral
UACAGAGGUGGCAAGCGUUGUUCGGAAUUACUGGGCGUAAAGGGCGCGUAGGCGGCCUGUCAAGUCCCGUGUGAAAGCCCCCGGCUCAACCGGGGAACGGCGCGGGAAACUAGCAGGCUUGAGUUCGGGAGAGGGAAGCGGAAUUCCGGGUGUAGCGGUGAAAUGCGCAGAUAUCCGGAGGAACACCGGUGGCGAAGGCGGCUUCCUGGACCGACACUGACGCUGAGGCGCGAAAGCCAGGGGAGCAAACGGG